This 253-nucleotide ribosomal RNA is filed under the name uncultured bacterium. RNAcentral describes it as "partial 16S ribosomal RNA". It matches the Rfam family "Bacterial small subunit ribosomal RNA", at positions 524 to 776 of the family's 1533-position model. The record is from RNAcentral.
UACGGAGGGUGCAAGCGUUAUCCGCAUUCACUGGGUUUAAAGGGUGCGUAGGAGGACAGGUAAGUCAGUGGUGAAAUCUCCGAGCUUAACUUGGAAACUGCCGUUGAUACUAUCUGCCUUGAAUAUUGUGGAGGUGAGCGGAAUAUGUCAUGUAGCGGUGAAAUGCUUAGAUAUGACAUAGAACACCAAUUGCGAAGGCAGCUCGCUACACAUAUAUUGACUCUGAGGCACGAAAGCGUGGGGAUCAAACAGG